AAACUCAAAUGAAGUUGACGGGGAGCACCACAACGGGUGGAGCUUGCGGUUUAAUUGGAUUCAACGCCGGAAAUCUUACCGGGACCGACAGCAAUAUGAAGGCCAGGCUGAAGACUUUGCCGGAUUAGCUGAGAGGUGGUGCAUGGCCGUCGUCAGUUCGUACUGUGAAGCAUCCUGUUAAGUCAGGCAACGAGCGAGACCCACGUCCACAGUUGCCAGCAUACCCUCCGGGGUGAUGGGUACACUGUGGAGACCGCCGCUGCUAAAGCGGAGGAAGGAAUGGGCAACGGUAGGUCAGUAUGCCCCGAAUCUCCCGGGCUACACGCGGGCUACAAUGGUUGGUACAAUGGGCAUCUACCCCGAAAGGGGAAGGAAAUCUCUUAAAGCCAAUCGUAGUUCGGAUUGAGGGCUGCAACUCGCCCUCAUGAAGCUGGAAUCCGUAGUAAUCGCGUUUCAACAGAACGCGGUGAAUACGUCCCUGCUCCUU
RNAcentral lists this ribosomal RNA (487 nucleotides) under uncultured Methanosaeta sp. RNAcentral's name for it is "bacterial SSU rRNA". It matches the Rfam family "Archaeal small subunit ribosomal RNA", at positions 852 to 1338 of the family's 1478-position model. Lineage: Archaea; Methanobacteriati; Methanobacteriota; Methanomicrobia; Methanotrichales; Methanotrichaceae. The record is from RNAcentral.